This is a long non-coding RNA of Gallus gallus (chicken), 1159 nucleotides long. The record is from Ensembl. NCBI's taxonomy places the organism in Eukaryota, Metazoa, Chordata, Aves, Galliformes, Phasianidae.
CUCUGGGAAGGGGAAGGGGAAGGAAAAGGAGAAGGGAAAAGAGAAAAGGGAAAGUGAAGGAAAGAGAAAAUGAAAACAAAAAAAAAGAAAAAGAAAAAAAGGAAACGAAAAAGAAAAAGAAAAAAGAAAAGAAAGAAAAGUGCUGACGUGGAAAGAGGGAAAGAGCCUGGUCUCCCAGCUGAAGCUGAUGCCUGAGACCCAGGAUGGGCUUCUACCUCUAACCAACCUCUGACUUGGUUAAGGCCCAAACUGCACUCACCAGCUGACCACAAGCUUCCACACUGCCCACACUUUCUUGGCAUAACACCCUGCAUAAGGAACAAGCAUCUCAUUCCUGUGCAGGCUUACAGCUUUCUAUCUUUUAGUCUCGUAUGAGAGAGGACACGUUACAGCAUAAUACAGGGAGCAACCUUUGCCAGUACUGACAGCAUGGUGGAACCAUCUUAGCCUUAACAUAUCCUCCCAGAAGAGCAUUUGUCUUCUAGAGAAGCUGCAGUUCCUGUGUGCAGCAGAUCAGGAGUGAAGACAAGUGUUGGCAAACUGGAGUGAGCUCAGUGCAAGGCCAUGGAGGUGGUCGUGACGCAUUUGAGGAGAGAAGGAAGGAACCAGGAUUCUUCAGCCUGGAGGGCAGAUGUUCCAGUCAUUCUGCAAGUGUCCUGCAAAAUGUAAUCAAAGGAACUGAGAAUGAUUUAGACCAGAAGGCACCACUGCAGUCCAACCUGGCUCCAACAGGGCUAACAACAAAGACAGAUGAGGUUCCUACAUUCCCACUGAGUACUGAAUAUCUCCAAACAUGGAUAUCCCACCAUCUCUCUGGAUGCUUUCCCACAUUUACACUUCUCUUGUUGGGAAGACCUGUUACUGUUUUCUGAAAAACCUCUCUUAAACCUGAGGUUCCCAAAGUGGACUCCAUUCUAGAAGCAACCUGAUGAGCAUCAAGAAGCAGAGGGAGAGCCUCCAUAAGCUUGCAAGGAUAACUCAGUCCCUGGUCAGCCACUGAGGCCACAGAGUCCUUGGAUAACACGUGUGCUGGCUGUCCACCAGGGCUGCAGAGCUCAACAGUCUGUGGUUCCCGUCCUGCACCGCUAUGGGCUCAUCCCAGCCAGGGGCAGGACACUGGGCUGUGACUACCAGGAGCCCGUUUCUGCAGCCUGCUGAG